CCCUAGCCCUGAUGGAAGCGUUAUCCUUUUACGAACGCCUUUUUUUGGCGGAGGAAAAGAUUCAAGCGUACAGCAGGAAAAAGC
Molecule: small RNA, 84 nt
Organism: Flavobacterium sp. FPG59
Lineage: Bacteria; Pseudomonadati; Bacteroidota; Flavobacteriia; Flavobacteriales; Flavobacteriaceae
Rfam family: Flavo-1 RNA
Source: Rfam